Molecule: long non-coding RNA, 2893 nt
Organism: Pseudopipra pipra
Lineage: Eukaryota; Metazoa; Chordata; Aves; Passeriformes; Pipridae
Exons: 3
Source: RefSeq, a predicted model, not a curated record
UGUGGGCCGACACUGAGAGUUUUUACAGUCCCCUGGUGUGUGUGUAACAUGCUGGGACCACCCCAUCGUACCUGACCCGGCUGCCCAAAAGACGGAAGGGAAAAAGCACAUGCAAAGGGGUCGUUUUCCUACCGUAACACGCUCUGCUCUCUCCCAUCCCUCAGGGAAUGACCAUGUGCAUCUACCUGUGCAAACUUGAAUGAUCUUUAUGCUGUUGCAUUCAUUACCUCUUCAGUGGUGAGCAGGAGGUGGACGGAGGAUGAAUUUAAACUGGAAGAUAUGAAGGUUUAUGGAAGUAGACAACUCCCGUGACCCCUCCAUUCCUCAUCCCCUUGUGCUUUGUGCUCAUCUGUGCAUAGAAAAAUCCACGAGCAAACCACAGAAAGUACACAUUUAUUGUGAAGCUGGGACGUCUCUUGACCCGUGUGAACAGAUUAUGAGCAAUUUUUCCUUUCUGUGCUGGCUUCUUUGCCUCUUGGUGCAGAAGUUGUCCUGAAAGCACACCAGAAACCUCAGUCAUAGAUCUGAUGGGUAUAGGAGGGUGAAUGAAGUCCACUCUCUGACUCCUGCCUCUGUCCACGUGCACAGGCUGCUGCAUGUACUGUACUGCCAAUACAAGGCGUGUACCUGGUUCCAGGUUUGUCCUUAUCAAUUAUUGUAAUACUUAUUCUGGGAUCACGUUUUGGACACUGAGUGUUUAUAAAAAAAUUAAAUUAAAUAUAGUGAUGGUGCUGCUAAAAAUAGUUUUUACUCUUUCCUGUUGUUUAUUGCAGAAACCUUUCCCUCCCUGAUUAUGGGGCUACUCCUGUGUUGUGUUUGUCCGAAUAUGAGCAUAGGUGACUCGGUGCAUUUUUGCAUUCCUUUCUCAAGAUAGGCUGAAUUUUUUUCAUUUUCUGAUCAGAAAUUGGGUUCUCCAUAUUGGGGGGGGGAACAACUGACUCCUAUUUCUGUGCCCAACAGUCUGUGCUUCACUGCCCUUACCCUCCUCCAUGCACAGGCCUCUCUGAGCAUCUGCAGAGCUCUGAGAGAACCUCAGACCUAAAGGAAGGCUAUGAAUGUACCAUAACAGGAACGUGCCUCCCUCUUCUCAUACAGUGCAGAACCAAUAUAUAUUUAUUAAUGCUCUCUCUGUUUCUAAAUUUUGUAAAUUUUACUUUCCUGGUACGUAGCUUUUACACUGAGUGUAAAAGUCACCACACUGAAUUUCGGCCAGUGUUAUAUGAUUAUUUUAUCUCUCACUAUAAAGAGUUUUGAAAGACUUUGUAUGAGAGGCAAUAUAAAAAUAAAUUGAAUUGAACUAUGGCUUCACCUUCCCACUCUUUUAGUGCAGAAACCUUUAGAGCAAAAACUGCAAUAUAAGGACAAAGGAGGAGAUUAAGGCUGUGUCAUGAAAGAGGUGACGCUGGGUGACAGGUCCGACCCUGCGUGAGCAGUUUGGUGGGUAUGCAGUCAGCUGUGUGUUAAUUAGAUUUUAAGCGUGUUCACAACUGGGGAAAAGCCUGUUUGUAUUUUUAGUGGGAAGGUUGUUUUAAGCCAUGAGAAAGGUAUUAGGUAUUAUCUACUAUGGUGCAUUUAUAUAAACAAAGGUCUACCUGAUGGUUGUGCAAACAUCUGUUCUGUUCUCACACAACGGUGCACGGUUCAUUAAAACUUACCCUGCUGGCCUCUGAAAGGCCGCUUCUGGAAGCACAUAAUCUAACUUACAGAUCCACAAUUGCAAUAAUUUGAGUUUUAGAAGAAAAAUAUUCUUAGCUUGGGGUAAUGAGUUGGUUUUUUUUAUUUUGUUUGUUUGUUUGUUUAGUGUCUGUGGGUCCCCCAGUAAAAAUAUAAUUUUACAUUUUACAAUGUAGGCUCAAUAAAUUACAUUAAUAAAUGACUCCUGGUUCAUGAGAAGUGCUGUAUUUUGACAAUAUCAGCCAACCUUUCCAUUUGUUUAAGCAGGAAAAGUGGGGAGCCAAAAUAAAGUUGUUACAGAAGAAAUCUCAAGAAUGUUUAUGAAACUCUGCUCUAGCUACAUUUAUUAGGAGUCAAAGCAGAGUCUUAAUUUGUCAUGCAGAAUUCCAGAGGAGUGAGUAAUUUCUGGAGCUUCUCUAAAUGCCAGGACUUAAUAAUUUUUUUGCGGCAAUUUGUUUGUAAACAUGGAGUAAAUUCUAUAGGUUGCAAUGUGACAAAAAGGUAUCUAGGAUUUGUCAUCUGCUAACAGCUGUUGGGUUUAUUUUAUAGCAUCUCAUGGGGUUUUUUGGAUAAAUGUGCUGUUGAUGGCAAGAAGAAGCACCCUGAGGAUCUCUGAUGGUGGGCAUGCACAAAGUUUAACUGCAAUAAGCUGUUUGUCAAGGAUUUGGUCUCCGAGGGAUCAGCUUCCCUGGGUUGUUGCAAUUCCCACCAGGGUGUCCAUGUGUCACCUUCGGAGGAAACCACACUGAACAGGAGGCAAACUCCAGGCAAGCUGGUAAUCUCCCUUCUGGCAGGGAUGCUUCCAGCAUCAUUUUUAUGAUGCGAAGAAUGCAAUCACAGCUUCCCAAGGAAGAUUUUUAAGAGAAUGGAGUUCAUGAAUUUUACUUUCCAGUUUCCCUGGUGUUGCAGGAACCCAGAAUAUUUGUUUUGUCACUCCCAUCUCUCUUUCUCAUCUUGUCACACACUGUAGUUGUGGGUUUUGGUCUUUUAUUUAGUAGUCUGAGGUUACAUGAGUUAGUGGUGGACCUGGCAGUACUGGGUUAAUGGUUGUGCUCAGUGGUCUUAGAGUUCUUUUCCAACCUUAAUGAUUCUAGAGAGCAGUGGAGCAGCAGGGAUGGAUGUGAAGAAGAGAGCAGCUGUUGCUGAGGACCUGAAAUAUACUGCAUUUAUUUUUUGAGGUUAUUCUUAGAUUGAGACUGGUGUGGUCCCAUGGACUCCC